Non-coding RNA from Coturnix japonica (Japanese quail), 692 nucleotides. The record is from RefSeq and is a predicted model, not a curated record. Lineage: Eukaryota; Metazoa; Chordata; Aves; Galliformes; Phasianidae.
AUCUCUUUCUGGAUAUCCCUCCUUGGUGAAGCUCUGCCCUGCAAACCUGGAAUCUUCUGAUAUGGCUUUUCACCCAGCUACAGGAAGAUGUGCAUAAAGAACUUUCCUAACAGCAGCUGCAAAUACACCUGUCUCCUCUGCAUUUCCCCUUCUGAAGUCUGCAUCCUCUGACAUCUUUGCAGCUCUUGUUCCGCAGCAAUAGAUAAGAGAGCUCCACAGUCUUGCUCUGCAAUGGCAAUCAGGAGGUUCAAAAGAUUCCCCCCCUCCUCCCCAUCUUUCUACAUUAAAGAGGAAAAAGAGGCCUGAAUUGGAGUUGAGCAGCACACAAACGUAACUCGUGUCAUUGACACCAAGCAAAUGGGAGCCGUGAAUAAGGAAACGUUCGGAAUGAACACAAGGAGCAUUGUUUGCAUAUCAGAAAAAUUAAUCUACAUAGCCAAGUGUAAGAGCCUGCAAUUCAGAAAGCAAAGAAUUAGGACAGCCCAGCUGAGAAUAAUUUUCUAGCCAGUUAAUUUAAUUGCAUAAAUCAUUCCUUUGUUAGCAAUAAAGAGAUAUAAUUAAAAUGAGAUUGCUUCUCAUUUCUAUUCUCUGGAAACUAAAGGAAUUGAUUUUGGGGGAAAGCAUUCUUCCAAAUACCAGAUCGGCAAAUUACAUUUACCUUUGUAGAAAGGCUAAAUUAUUUCGCGCUAAUA